RNAcentral lists this ribosomal RNA (253 nucleotides) under uncultured bacterium. RNAcentral describes it as "partial 16S ribosomal RNA". It matches the Rfam family "Bacterial small subunit ribosomal RNA", at positions 524 to 776 of the family's 1533-position model. The record is from RNAcentral.
UACGGGGGGGGCAAGCGUUGUUCGGAAUUACUGGGCGUAAAGGGUUCGUAGGUGGCCAACUAAGUCAGACGUGAAAUCCCUCAGCUUAACUGGGGAACUGCGUCUGAGACUGGAUGGCUUGAGUGCAGGAGAGGAACGCGGAAUUCCAGGUGUGGCGGUGAAAUGCGUAGAUAUCUGGAGGAACACCGGUGGCGAAGGCGGCGUUCUGGACUGCUACUGACACUGAGGAACGAAAGCCAGGGGAGCAAACGGG